RNAcentral lists this long non-coding RNA (42963 nucleotides) under Coffea arabica (coffee). RNAcentral describes it as "long non-coding RNA (CARA_LNC003925)". The record is from RNAcentral. Lineage: Eukaryota; Viridiplantae; Streptophyta; Magnoliopsida; Gentianales; Rubiaceae.
UUUUUUUCUUUUUUUUUUUUAGGGCUGAAUAAUCAAUCAACAAAGCUUUACUCUUAUGCCCAUAAUAACUUGGUCAAAAAGAGGUGGAGGUAUCAGAAUUUUAUGCGUAUCGUCUUUUCUUUUACAGGAAAUGACACGAUUUGUCACUAAAUUAUUUGUAGUUCCCUGUUUUGGUCAUCCAACUUUUUAUUUGGUCAAUAUGGCUAUUCAACAAACUAAAACAUAUUUUCUUUAGUUUGACCCAAAAAAAAAAAAAACUAACUCAAACAUAUUUCGUGUGACAAAAAAUGUAUAUUUUCUUUAGUUGAGUGACCAAAGUAUAAGAUUUUAUUAAUUGAGUGAUGAAAAAAAAUACAUUGUUUUGUUAAUUGAAUGAUAGUCCAAACUCGAUGAGUAGAUACAAAAUAAAGGAGAUGAGCCCACUAUAAAUUUCAAAUAUUCUCAUCCAUCCCUUAAUUGAGAAAACUUUAACGAAGGAAAAAAAGAUAGUCCUAGCUAAAUAAAAACUUUAGUGACCAAAUUAGAAAAUUCUGAAUAAUUUAUUGCCUCUUUUUGUCAUUUUCUCUUUCUUUUAUUUAGUUUUGCUGUGUGCGUAGCAGCCUCAGAAUACAGCAAAAGUGGGGAAUGAUUAGAGUAUAUAUUAGGUGGGAUAAAGUCUCUCAGUUUUGCUAUUUCGUUUGUUUAUGAUGUGUGGGCGAAUUUUUAGUAGUGGGAAUGCACUGUCAGCGUUGAAUGAGUAACAACUAUACAAAUUUGAAAUUCAAAAUUCAAUUUUUACAUAUAUAUCAUAGAUCCAAUAAUGAAAGUGUAUACACUAUCAAUAUAUAUAAGAUUUAUUUUUAAUUAUUUAUUUAUUUAAAUUAUAUUGUUCCCAUAUGCAUGUCAGCAGGCGACGGCAUACACUUUGUCAAAGGAAACGAACCCCUUGACAUCUCUUAAAAAUCUUUUAGUCCCUCUAGUGCACAUAUUAAUCCAAUUCCAAAAAUUCCCAUAAUCUGAAAGGCUUUCCAUUUACCACAAUAAUACAACACAGUAUAUCAUUUAUGCUACAUGAGUAUUUCUGUCCCUAAGUUGCAAUGAGAUAUUCAUUUUUCUGUCCCUAAAACCCAACUGAGGUAGUAACAGACACUGAAUUUCUCUUAAACAGCCACAAAAAAAAAGGUACUUGGCAUUUCUUACCUUUUCCAAUGGACACCAACAGAAUAUUACUGGUUUGUUGCCGACUUCAACAGUUUGCUGCCAUGCCAAAUUACAUCAGCAGAUGAUAAGACUUGAUCAACAAGGAGCUCCAUGAGAUAAGAGAGAUUCGGCACAUGGAUUGUAAUGCUUUCAAAGAAUUGAUACAAUUGAAAUGCAAAUUCCAGCCGCAGCAAUUCAAGAAUUUUGACGACUUCUUGUAAUACAUACAGCCAUCUCUUCCAAAAGCUAAUUGCCACAAUGUAAAUGAUACUGAGAAAAAGAUCAUAUCCUAUUGACCGCUAUACUGACAAAGAAACCCAACAGAGCACCAGCAAUGACUUCAAUCUCUGUGUGGCCAACAGAUUCUUUCAGUGGGGUGCAACCAAAAGGAAUGCUUUCUGAGUCUCCUUUCACGAUUGGCAUUCUCCAAGUUCUGUUUUCAGAUUUAAGCAGCAAUGGAGCAUUCGGUACUCUUGGUUGAGAAGAUCUAAAUUUGCGCAACGAGCUGGCGUCAAAGGUUUCUAUAUUUGUAGAUACUUCUUCUGGAAAAUAUUCAGUAGAAUCAUUAACAUCACAAGAGGAAAAUGACUCUACUUUGUUUCUGAACAAAACCCUGUUUAACACUUUUGCUUGACUUCCCACUUCCCUUCUAACACCCUACAAACGCCAAAAUAGACAGGUGAGAUCAUAUGCCCCUGCACUGACUCCUAAGAUAUAUAAGAUCACAAUUUCCCUGAAUUUGUGACGAAUUGCAAAUCGAUCAAAUUAACAUGGGCAAUUCUUACAAUCAUGAGGUCCAAAGAUCAAUUUCAAUAUAUACAGGAACCAAUGCCAAUCUUAACUGAACCAUACCAUCCAAAAAUGUAUUACUGGAAGCCGUGUCAUGAUCACAUAUUCUACAAAAGAAAAAGGAAAAGGUACACUUCAUGCAAUAUCAGGUUAUGUUGAGAAUAAGUAGUUAUUAUUAAUUGAAAUAUACAAGGCACAAGUGCCUAAAAGCUGAUUAAUAGUUCUGAUGAAGAACCUUUUCAUCUUGACUGUGUCAUAGAAAAUGUGGUUUUAUCACUCUCUGGAACUAAAUCAUUCUGAAAUGAGGAGGAGCUGCCUCUAGGGCUACAUAAUAAUGCUCCAAAACACUCUUCAGGUCAAGGCACAUUCAUUGUCAUGAAACCGACUUAUAUACAUAUGAAGGGCAAAUUAGCACAUGAACAUUAAAAUUUAUGAAUGUUAAACAGAUUAAAUAUGGGAUAGAAAGAUCGUGGUCAUGUCCCUUGAACCAUAUUAUGGCAUCUACUUAUUAACAAAUUCAACACUCAAAUGGUGAAUGCAGCAGAAUAUAGCAUUACAUUGUUUUUGCUUUGUUAAUAGUAUAACUUAAUUUUUCCAACUACAUAAUUUUGUUACUGGAAGCAAAAUAAUUGUAGCAUAUGAUAGACUUGGCUAAAGUUGGUGAAGAACAAAUACAGGAAAUCUUAAGAAGUCGGUCUUGACAAUUUAAGGUUGUAUAAGUCAUAUCACUCAGUAGCCUCUAGAACACAAACUGUGGAAAUCAAGAGUGUCAAAGAAGAAUUUUGAUUUAUGAGAAAGUUGAAAGAAAGGUGAAAAUAGAGGUUGAGAUAAUAUGAGGGACCUUGAAAUCAAACUUAAAAAUGUCAACCAUAACAUCUUUAACUAAACAAAUAUUGUAAGGUCGCAGAGAAUGUACUUGGCUACUGCACCAACCUCUAGUAGAUUCAGUCACACACAAGCAGCAUUUGAAUACUUUCAGGAGCCUCUAGGCAUCUCUCAAUCAAGUUGGAGAGUCACUUUAAUCAUUUUUCUGAUUCUGUUGUUGCUUUUCAUGGUACAACAUAUAGAUGAAAUGGGGCCUUAGCAUAUCAUGGAAGUGUUUUUCAAAUACAAUAAAAAUUUUUAAAAAGUACUCUAAAAGGUAAUCUAAAAAUUAGUUUAAAUUUUUUUAAAAUUUUAAAAAAUAUCUCAAAAUAUAUACUAGAAACUCUUCUACUCUUAAAUAUCCCAAAAUAUUUUCUAAAAAUAUCCCAAAAUAUAAUAUAAAAACUCUACUACAGCAAAAUUUUUCAAAAACACCCCCAAAAACAGCUAAUCCAAACGGUCCCUUAAUUCCAUCAAACUGAAUAAAGUGUUCGUUUUACUUUGCCCAUAUAAAUUCAAAUAGCACAAUAUGUAGAUUUCACCAGGUCUCCUUAGCCAGAGCAAUCUUACCACUGUGGCUAUUGCAGGCCGGAAUUGUCUCUGUUCUUAUAUCUGCAUCCAUGCUUCUUAGUUUGCCAGCACGCCAUGUGCAGCAUGGAGUAAAGUCUCAGAUAUGGCUUUCCUAGGCAUUUCUAUUUCACCAUUCAGGUAACACCGUUAAUUUUUUUUGCAAUUUGGCUGCAGUGGACUAAAAAUGCUUUUGUCAGGACAUUCUCCUAAAAACCACUCCAAACUAAUGGAACCCUGCCAAACAUGCAUAGGAAAAGCUCAGAUGGCGCAAAGCCCCAGCCCAGAAACAACGAGCUGGACCUAAAUCAUUGUCCAUCACUAUUAUCCCCACGCAUUCAAUGUGGAUUAACUCUCAGAGGUGUAAUGAAAGCUUUAACCCUGUAAUUUGUGCCCAGCAGCCUCAUAUUUCGAGGCAAUCAAACCCAAUGCACGAUUUGGGAAUUAGGAUGUUAUUGAAAUCUCACUCUCAGAAGUUUUUUUUUUUUUUUUGGGACACAGAUGUCAUUGAUAUCUCAAGGUAACAAGUUCAGCUUUCAGGAUUUAGAAUGAAGUAAAAGGGGGAAAAAUCAAACUUUCAGCACAAACCUGUGCAUCGUACAUAACAAUGCCAGCAUAAAUAACCGCUAAACCAAAAAUUGCAUCAGAGAAACCCCUGAAAUAGGGAAAAGGGACAAAAAAAAAAAAUGGAACUUAGAUUACUUAGAUUAGUUCAGUAAUAGCAUUCUUCCAGCUAAGACUUACUAAGAAUCAAGUCAAUGGAGCAAAACAAGUCUUGUAAUAGUACAUAUACGUCUUGCUUUCGACAAAGUGAAAAAAACGAUGGAAAUGAAGCAUACCUUUCUAGGCCAAGGAUUGUUGCAGUCGCAACAACUGCCUGUGGAGUGGGAAUAGAUAGAAAUCAAUGACUAUAUUUAUAACUUAAAAGAAAAAAAAAUCAGUGUGGCAAAAAGCUACAAAGUUGAGCUCUUCCCUCCCUAGCCCCUCCUGAAAGUGAAAUUUUCAAGCGAAACGAACGCUGUUAGGUUAUAAUAAAAUAUUCAUCCAUUUCAAGGCUAUCGAACUAGCAGUCUUUUUUUAAAAAAAAAAAUUGGAAAUAAAGGAGGGUGAGGGAAAGAGAGAGAGAGAGAGGGAGGGAAAUUACAGAGGAGUGCGUAGAAGGGAGCCCUCCAGCCUGAAAGGCACUCUUCAAAUCGAAUUUGUUGCCGUGGAGAAUCGCUGAAGUAAAAGGCUUUGAGAGUUGGCCAAGGGCCGCGGAUACAGCUGCUGCUAUUAAAACCUACAGUCAUAACUAUCCUAGUGUAAAUAACAACAAACACCUCCAUAACUAACGCAUUAAAAAAGAAUAUAUACGUAUUCGUGUAAAAACUAGCAACCCCAACCUUGUUGUGGACGAUGUCAACGAUUUCAACAUUGGAAGCACACAGCGUUGAGAAACAGCUACUACUAAGUGUCCUUGUAGAAGAUAAUGUUGGGCCGGCGUUGCUUCUGAGAAAGUGGUGGCGGUAUUGGCCAAGUUGAAUUUCUCCGGAGGAACCAGAACCACUCAAGUGAGGACGGAAUACGUGCUUCCUCAUCUCACCAUAUCUUUCGCUGUUGGACACCACAACUCUCGAAUGUAUCGAAAAGCUCCAACCUUGCAGCAACAUCAUCAUCCCCCUCCUCCUCUCACUUAUCCUACUCCCCUCCCACCUGCCUCAGCUCAGCUUCACUCUUCCCCGGUCAAUGGCUUUUUUUUUCCCCUUUAGUCAAUGGCUUUAAUUUAAUAGGGGCGGCUUUGCCAUACGUAUGGAUGUUGGCCGUCCCGUUUGUAUUUUUUGUUGGUACGGAGCUGCCAACUUGGGUUGUCAAAUUAGCAAUAUGCAAGUUGGCUUCCAACACCCGGGGGCGGCAUUCAAAAAAAACACCUGGGUGCGUAUUAUAAGUAUUCUGCUACAGCUUAGUUUGUCAAAUUAGCAAUAUGCAAGAAAUAAUUAAAUAAUUAUGGAUGUCUGGUUCCUAUCUAAUAACAAAUUUAUCACUAGUUCUAAGGUGAUAAAGUUAAAACGCUGUCAUGAGAUAAUAUAAUUAUAAAACUAUCAUGAUUUUCAAGGUGGUAAAACCUUCAAGAUCAUAAACUUGUCACGACUUUUCAGAAGAUCUUAUUAAUAAUUAUAGUUAAUUGGUAUAUUUUGAACUACUUUCCUGAUGAUCUUAUCAACAAUUGUAGUUAAUUGAUAUAUUUUAAACUCUUUUGUACUCUCCUAUAAAUAAGGGUCAUCCCCUCUCUUAGAAAUACUAGGCUUGGUGCCCCGUGAGUUCUGCGGGGUGUCCAUUAUUAACUGUCUUAGGGUAAUGUAAGAUUUAUUUAAUAACAUAGAUUUGAAGUAUUUUGUAUGAUAAUGGAGUUGGAAGAGUGGAUAGAGGAGUGAUAUAUUGGAUUGAUUUAUUUAUAAAUAGAUAUAGUAAAAUUGUUGCGAUUUGUAUUGUGUUUUUUAAAAUUAAUACGAUCUAAAGAUUUGAUGGAUAAUAUUGGUUUCAAAAUUUUUUAUUUUAAUUUAGUGAUAAGUAAAUAUUAUUUAAAUUAAUGGAAUUUAUGUUAUUUUUUUAAAGUUGAUAGGAUGGAAAGUUAGGUGGAGAAUUACACUGAGAGUGUUAUAAUUUAUUAUACUUUGGGCGUUGGUAGUUUAUGUAUUUUAGGAUGAUGAUAUUUUCAUAAUUUGGAUAGCUAGGAUGAGAGAGUGUGCUUUGUUGCAAUGGAAAAGUCUAUGGAAAGGAUAUAAAUGAACGGGGAAUUUGUUGAAAAAUAAAUGGAUAAUAGAUUUUUUUUGACAAAAUUUGAUAUAGUUUGGGUGUUGUGUAAUGAGAAAAAUUAAUAAUUUGGAAUAAUUUGAUAUUGUAGCUUGGUAAAAUACGUGUUUAUUAAUUAAGUAGGUUUUUUUUUUCUAUGAGUAAAGAUGAUAUUGAUUUAGUUAUGAAUGAAUGUGAUUUUUUUUUCGCAAAAAGGUCUUUAUUAAGUCACAUAAGGAAAAAUGCAGCCACAACAGCGACAAUCCAAGAGGGAUCUAGCAUCGCCUCCUGCGGAAGUUAGGGAAUCCUAGUCUAUCCAGACAUAUUUCACCACGAACCAAGAGAGGUACCAUGUCAAAGGAGGUAAACACAGAGUCCACUUCGCUGACGGCUCCCAAUUUGGCCAGCCUGUCUGAAGGCUUGUUAGCCUCUCUGUAGCAAUGCGUAAUCGACCGGAACAGCCUCCUAUGCCACAUUAGAUCCUCCACUUCCCUUUGCAGCCACCAGGGACAUGCCUGAUCACCUGAUAUGAUUCGAACCAAGGAUAACGAAUCCAUCUCCAGAUGCAACUCUAAAUACCCCAUAGCAAUGCACUAUUGCACCCCACAAGCUAAUGCCUUCAACUCUGCGUGUAGGCUUGUUAUGACACCCAAGGAACACGAAAAUGCCAGAACAAAGUCUCCUUGAGAAUCCCGAAGCACUCCCCCGCCUCCACUCACCCCUGGAUUCCCCAGAGAACACCAAUCUUUAUUGAGCUUAUAUCCCCCACCCGAGGCCACCCCACUUAACCUGCAGAACGGUAACUAUUGUCGGACGAGCCACUAGGGCCGAGUGCAACCUCUCCCACGAGCCACUAGGCCACGCUAUAGUUGGGAAUUGAACCUUGAGUAACUCCCGUAUCCUGACCAAGACACGGCCAGCCACACCUCCCCCCGUUGUCCUUCCCCCAUUCAUUAACGUCCUAUUUCUUGCACACCACAAUUCCCAACAGAUGACCGAAAGGAGCACACGAUACACAAAGGUCACAUACCGCUGCUGUGCCAGUCGGCUCCACCAUGACAUCACCAUGUGACGGACUGAGCUGAUACGGUCCGAAGCCCCCGCUUGAAUCUCAAAUGUCCUCCAUACCUGCCGGGCGGUAUCCCCCGAGCAAAAGAGGUGAUUCAAGCGUUCCUCCUGGGUAGUCGUGUAGCAAAAGCAUCUAGAUGGCCCGUGGACAUCCAACUUGCGCAACUGGUCCACUAGAGGCAACCUACUCGAUAACAAGCGGAGCAUGAAAAACGAAAUCGUUAUAGGCAAAGACUCAUGCCAAACGGAGCGGCCCCAAAUGAUCUAUGCGAGUGGCCCCGAACGACCGCCACGGCCAAAGAAACUGUGAACUCCCCAUUGGGGGUUAAACUCCAAACCAUCCUGUCCUCCCCUAGCAGGGGUGGCGGCCUACAGAACAUAACCAGCCGCACAAGCUCCGGUUGCAACACCUGUGAGAGAGAGCAGCCGUCCCACUCCCCUCCCGUCACAAAAUCCGCCACCCGGUGAUCCUGAAAUUCCUCCACACUUCUGCAAAGCGGGGCAGACCCCAACCAGUUAUCGUGCCAGAAGUCCAUAGCUCCUGCCCUUACAAUCCACCCUAUGUGCCUCUCCAUGAUCCCCUGGACCUUACACAUCCGUCUCCAUGUGGAGGAAGGACCCAAUCUCUCCUUUGCCAAACAAGGAUGCCUGCCCCUACAGUAUUUGGAAGCCAUGAACGAAGCCCAGAGGGAGAGCCCCUGCUUAAACUUCCACCACAACUUCAUGGAGAAGGCCUGAAUGAAUGUGAUUGAAAUAGAUGGAAGUUAUAUUUUUGAAUUAAUAGAAUCUGAAUAAGUAAAGGAUAAUAUUUUGAGAGCUGAGAGAUUUUAUAUAUUAAUAGUUUAUUAAUAAAUGGAUAUUAUUGAAAGUAAGGUGAUGUGUAUAAAUUUUUUUAUAAGAAAUAGAAAUGGUUGCACAUGAAAAUUAUAGAGUUUAAUCACUAGAAUUUGCAAUAGAAUUUUUAAAUAUUUAUUGUUUGAUGUUUAUGUGACUUAUUUUAUGUUACUUAAAGUUGUAGUGAAUUUUGUAUUAAUAUAUAGAUAUAGGUAUAUGAUAUAUUUUGUAAUAUAUAUAUGUGUAUGUAUAUAUAUAUGCGUGUGUGUGUUUAGUAUUUUAUUUUAGGUGAUAUAAUGGUUUAAUUUUUUUAGUGUUUAGAUUUUUUGUGGUUUUGUUUGUUUGUUAUAUUUUUAUUUAUUUAUAUAUGUGUACAUAUAUAUGUAUAUGUCUAUUUAAUAUUUUAUUUGAGCUUGUAUAAUUGUUUAAUAUUGUUUUAGCAUGUCUAUCUUUUCCAGUUUUGUUUGUUCGUUAUAUUUGUGGCGUUCCUAUUUGUCUUGUGAUUCAUGUGUCAAUAUGAUUUUUUUUAAUUGCAUCAUUUAUAUUUUUGUUUAUAUAUAUAUAUAAGGGUGUGGUUUUAAGUAUUUGUAUGUAAAUUUCUAGUAGUUUGGUUAUCUUUGUUAUAGUUUUAGAGAAAAGUUUGUCUUUUUUUAUUUUGGUUUUCAGUGGUAUAUUUUCCAAUUUUUGAAUUUUUGAAAUAUUAUCGAAGUAACAUUUUUGAAAUAGAGGGAAAUUAUCCUAUAUUUUUAAAAACAAUUAGUCAUAUUAAUGCAAGCUAAUACAAAACAUCACAAUUGAUUUAUAUUUAUUAGAUAUGGACAAAAUUUUCAUCUAUAUAUAUAUUUUUUAGAAAAUCAAUAUUUCUAUCGAUACAUAUAUGUUUUGCAGAAAAUGAAUAUAUAUAAAAAGGCACACAAUUAAUCAUCAAUUUGUAUUGACCGCAUUUAUGCUACCCAAUCUUAAAAUACAAAAGCUUUAAGUUAAUACACACAAAUAGAAUGUGAGAAUAUAUAUAGAUUUGUAUAGCUCAAAAAAUUCGUGUUUGCAUUGGGGAAUGGAAGGUAGCGGCACCUGCAACAAACAAAAGCAAAGAAAUAAUAAUUAAGAGAUAUGACAAGCUAAAAACCAUAAAGUACAAAAUUGACAGCAAAAUUAAAAAGAAACCAACACAAAAGGGCAUGAUUGGAAUAAAGAUGAUAAAAUGCAAUAUAAGGACUGCCGCAAUAGCAGACAAUAAACUCCACAGCGGGCCCCCCAUGAUGCUGAAAGACACAAAAGUCCAAAAUCAUUCGUAGAAUUGCAUCGAAACCUGGACAAUCAACUAUAGCUCAUGACUUAGCGCAUUAUGUAGUUCAGGAUGAUUAUUUGAUAUGAAUAACACUUAUUAUAUGUUAAUACAAAGUGGUACAAUUGAUUUAUACAUAUUAGAUACACACAAAAUUUUUGUUCAUUCGUAUAUAUUAGAUAUACAUAUGAUUUUCAUUGAUAUGUGUUAAUACAAAGCAGAAUAAUUGAUUUAUAUUGAUUAGAUACACAUAAAAUUUGUAUUGAUUUGUAUAUAUUAGAUGCACACAGAAUUUUUAUCGAUUUGCAUAUUUUUUUGAAAAUCAAUAUUUUUGUUAAUAAAUACAUUUUGGAGAAAGUUAAUAAAUAUAAAAGAGUAGAGAAAUUAUAUUCUGGAGAAAGUUAAUAAAUAAGCGAAUAAAUAUAAAAGGCCAGGGAAAAUUAUAAACAUAAAAAUGAAUCCUUUUUUAAAUCAUAAAAACACACACAAAUAAAAUGGCCAAAGAUAGCAAUUGCAGCAGCAGAAGAUAGAACAAACAAAAGGACAAAAUUGACAACAAAAUUACAAAUAAACCUGGACAAAAGGGCACAAUCGGAAUAAGCUAACAAAAACAAAAUGAGGAAAAAAGCAACAGCAAGCAAAGUGGUUGCAUGGAGUUUGGUAAAAGACAAAAAAAGGGCAAAGUCAGCCCCGGAAUCAUAUGGAAACCAGCAUAAUCAACUGUAACUCAAGCCUUGGGACUUUAUGUAGUUUAGAUGUAGAGCUCAAAAUCAUUUGAGAAAAUAAAAGAAUACUUUUCUUUCUUAUUUACCUUUCUCUUUUUCUAAAUUCAUCAAUUUUCUUGAUUUUUUUAGCAUAUUGCCCACCAUAUAAAGAAUAUAAAUCCUAUAGUUUUAUUAACAUAUCUAGUCUAUGCAUGAAUGUCGUUGUUUCCAAUUGAGUUCCAAUUGCUAACGUGGUGCGCUGGUAUUGGCUGAUUGGUGGUCGUCUGGCCCGUGCGAAUUUCCAAUUGAUGGUCGUCCAUUGCCACACGUGAAUUCUUUUGUUUGCUCAGACGUUUAGCAAUCCUUUUGUUUCUUUGUUUGCUGUUUGCUGGGAAGUGUUCCACUAAAAUUUGGUAGUACUCCAUGUGCGCAUUUUUUUUGUGCAGGUCUUUGACCACCGGAUAAACUAGCAAGAAGAAGUCUUCCUCAAUUCCUCAAUUCUUGGCUUUUGCAACAAAGCUAUUGGCUGAAGAGUGGCAGAGCUGGUCAAUUCACAUGAAUCACCUCAAUUCGUCAACCCGUUGUUCUAGAAGCUUCUUUCUCGUGGUUUCCUCAUGUUCUUCUCUCUUGAGUUUUCAUAUUCCUCUCAAAUCCACUGUUUCUCCAUUUUUGUUCUGUAUACAUUUUUCCCACUUGAUUAAAUUUUCUCUCAUUCUCUGAUAAGUUUCAUAUUUUUUUUUCACAAGUUGAGAGGUCAAACUAUCAACUAAACCAUGAAGAAAUGUGGAGAUUGUUCUCUAAAGGUGAACACUUUUUCUGUGACUUUUUUUUUUUGCUUUUUUUGUACAUUUUCUCCGGAUUUUUUCCCUUAUAUCUCCCUAAUAAAACUUUUCUGGCCAAGGUAUCUGUUGGAUAAAUAAGAAAGGAAAAAACGAUGCAAUCUUUCUGUGUUCGAUGGCCGUUUUCUUUCUCGAGAUUUGUUAUCAACAGAUGUGAUUUUCUUAGAUCUUCAAAAAACCACGUCUAAUUUUUUUUUUCUUUUGUGAUGUUGCGAUGUUGUAGGUAUGAAAUUUGGAGAUUUUCUCCAUCGUCGUCAUGCUAUUUUGCAAGUUUUUUCCCUCUUUUGAAGUCUCUUUUCCUCUCUUAUCGUUUGUUUUAUCUGAUUGACAACAACAAAACCAAAGAUCUAGUUGGGAUUUUUUGCUUCAGUUCAAAAUUUGUUUUUUCCUUCUUUUUUCAAAGCUUCUCUAGCCUUUUGUGUUUUUUUCCCUUUCAUUUUUAAUUUCCUUUUUUCCCCUUUUGUGAUGUUUUGAUGUCGCAGUUACGAAAUUUGCAGAUUACCUCCACCAUUCUUAUGCUUUUUUCUAAAUUUUUCCUCCUUUUUUAACGGUAAGUUCUAUAUGGUUAUUUUCUCAAAAAAGACUUAUUUUUGUUGUAUCCUCCCCUUACUUUUGCCUUAUUUCCAUCUUUUUUUUCCCGUGACUAAAGACACGUUAGAAUGGAUUUAACAAAUUUGAUUAAGUUCUUUCUGGUGGAUUUAAAAAGUUUUUUGCCCAUGUAUGAUUAUAUAAUUUGUAUAUUUUUGUGAUGUUGCAGGUCCAAAAAUUGGAAUUUCUUUUAUUCUCUCAAAAAACUACUAAUGUAGUAGUAUGGAUCAACAUUAUUCCCAGCCUGUUUUGCAUAAUAUUGGUGAAUAUUUUGAGUGAGCCUUGUUCUAUUCGCUUAUAUGUGAUUACAGUUUAUACUCUACUUUUCUUUAUUUUUUUCUAUGCAAAAGAUAUUGUUUUGGAUUUUUUUCCAUUUAUUUAUUUGUUUUUAUGACCUAUUAGAUGUAAGUUUCAAUUUUGGUUAUCAUGAGGUGUUUAUCCUCUUAGUUGUGUCUUGGAAAGUUUAGUUUUCUGACAUGUUUCCUUGAGCCUUUUAUAUUGAAGAUUUAUAAAUCCUCACUAGAUGUUGAGACUAUUUGUGUACUUCAUGGGUCUGUCCCUUUUGUGUUUUUUUGUAAGUAGGGUUGCUUUUUUUUCUCUUCUUGUUUUCCCCCCUUUUUUGUUCUAAAGUACUGUAAUGAUACAAUCAUAUUUUAUUUAUCAAAUGUUUGAUAGAAUGUUAAAACCAUUAAUUUGUUAUAUAGUAGCUAAAAUUGGAAAAAAAAAUUGUCCACUCUAACCCACUUUCUUGACUUUUAACCGAAAGGCUUUGUUCCUCUAUCCAUGAAUUUCCUCUUCCUCUUCUCAUGGUCUUCACUUGCUAACAAAAAAGGAGAGCUAUAUAUGCUUAUGUUAUCUCUUCUUCUAUUGUAGUUUUAAAAAAAGAAAAGUGGAGAUUGUUCUGUGAUAAAGCCUCUAAAAUUUCUCAAGGUAAUUUCCUCUAUUUUAUAGUAUUUUUUGUAUCAUCAUUUGGCCAGUAACGCUUACUAAUUCUUCUGCACAGAGGUUAUGCAAGGCUUCCUUUUUUCCACCUCUAACAUCAGUGCACAUGAGGUGAUAAAGUGGGUGUAUUUCUCCUGUUCUUUUGUUUAGGCCUUUAUUUUCCAUAGUUUGGUUGCCCGGUCUAUGUGAUUAUCCUCCGGAGAAAUGUUUUUGCUAAAGUUCUCUCCUGAAUUUCUCACUUUUGGCCAUGGGCUCGAGGAGUCUGGAAACGUUCGUCAUAGUCCCUUUUCUUUUGGCCAUGGGCUUGAGGAGUCUGGACAACCAAGUUUAAUUCUUUUUUUAACUGAUCUUUAUUUUGUUGAAUGUCUCUAACAAAUAUUUGUGUUAUACACUAAUAUGUAUUAUUGCCUUUUAAGGUGGUUUUUUCUUUCCACCUUAUUUAUCACAUACAUUCAAUAGAUGAUUUUACCCUUUUUAUCUCUUUUUUCCAAUUUACCUAAUUCAAUAUGCAUUGUCAGGUUCUCUAUAUUGAGCUGAGGAACAUUAUGAUUUGUUAUCUAACAUUCGGCAAUUAGUUAAGGUACUUUUUGUCAUACUUUUUGUUCUUUAAUAGUUAUCAAGCAAUUGGGGGCCUUUUACAACAUGUAUGUGUUUUGUUUGUCCACUGCAACUAGGUAUUAUCAGGAAUUUGUAUUUAAUUAUAUGCUUUUGGUAUUAUGUUAAAUAUUUUAACAUAGGACUCUACUUCUUCUAAAUUUUCAAGUCUCAACUUGUGCACUGAUUAUUAAAACCAUUGACAUUCAUGUAUUUGCUAAUAAUUGGGUGUUCGGUUUUAGUUUGUGAAGUUGCAUAUCUGUUAAUUUCAAUGAAUUCAUUUGAAUGAAGACAAUAAAUAAUGCUUUGCAUUUGAUGCUUGCUAAUAAUCAGUGGUUUAUUCCAAGGGGGCAAAUCUUGCUUUAUUUUUUUUUAAUCUUAACCCCUUUUUAAAAACUAGAAGUGAGAUUUUUUGUCCUUGAUAGGUUUACCUUCCAAUAUGUAAUUGUUGACUGGAAUUGUUUACAGCCUAGAGGGGCUUGACUUUUAUGAUAAUUUCUUGGGAUGCUUGAUUUCAAAAAAUUAAUGAUAAAUCUCAUUUUGUGCUUGUGAAAUGAAUGGUGGAAUUUUCCCUUUCUAUAAGGCAGAGACGUUGUUUGGAUUUAAGCGUUUUGUCUUUAUUAUUUUCUUAAAUAUGCUUUUAGUACUUCUGGUAAUAAAAGAGUUUCACUCAUUUGCACUUUAUAUGGUUAGGUUCUGACGCCCCCACUUCUCCCAAGAACGAAUCCAAGGGUAUCCGCGGGACACCUACCCAACUCUCGCCAAGACUCGGGACAAUUCCAAUUCAAACAUAGUCUAAUACUAAUAAUGAAAGUCGAAAUAAAAUACAAAGUCAUUUCCGUAUAUAAAUAUCCAGUCUUACAUCACAAUCUCAAAUUUACAAUCACUUUUCCCAAAAUAUACAACAUCCAAGAGUGUCUAGUCGAUUACAAUCAAAACACUAAUACAAAAGUACCUCAAUUCGGCAUUUCCUUAACUCCUUCCAAUCGGGUUCCUGUUAUGAAAAAACAAACUAAUCGGAUGAGUUGACGCUCAGUGAGUCCAAGAAAAUCAUGCAAGCAGGUAAUUCAAAUAGCAAUAAAGUUAGUACGAGAGAUAAAGCUAUAACAUUCAAGUAAUUUUCGAAUAUUCGCAAAACACAUUCAAGAAAAAUACGGGAACUCUUAGGAGCUCAUUUCCACUUGCUUUGCCAAAAUUCAAUCAAUAGUCUGUCAAACUUUACUUAUUCUAUUUAUGAUUCUGAGACGAAUGAGAGGUACCUCCCACCCGAAUCGGUGUGGUACAUACCAUCGCUCAGUGGUCGAAUAUACGUUUAUGGUUUUGAGUCGAAUGAGAGGUACCUCCCACUCGAAUCGGUAUGGUACAUGCUAUCGCUCAAAGAACCGAUUAUACGAUUAUAAUUAUAAGGGUUGAUGACAUUCAGUCCAAUCGAUAAAUACCGUUAUAGGCCGAUAAACAACGCUCAAACCGACGAUUCCAAAUAAGAAUUACAAAUACGAAUUACAUCCACAUUACUAUGUACAAGUCGAAUAUGAAUUUUCAUAGCAAAAUACGAAUAUAAUUUCGUUCAAAAGAGAACGAAUGCGGUAAAAUACACACUUGUUUCAAAAUUUCAAAUUCACACAACAGAUAAGAAAUAGUUAACCACUUAGCAACAAAUUCAUACACUUGACAUUCAUCAAUACAAGAAAACAAGGAAGUGUGUCCACUUCAAGGUUCAGGCGUCUACCGUGGGAUCCUCUUAAAGGUCCUUUUGGGUGCCUGAGUAAUUGAUAAUAAACUAUCACUUAUAAACUCCAAUUAUCAUGGAAGAUCGCACACUUGUAUAAUUUAGAAAAUAUCGUGAAGAUGAGUCAAAAAUUUCUUGUAAAUCAAGACUUUAAAGUAGGAUUCAAGAACACAAGAAAAUCUGGUUUUCAUCUUUGAAAUCAAGUGUAAAAUGAUCAAGUGAUAUCAAAGGAAAAAAGAGUGUUUGAAAAAUUCCAUUUCCUUUAAGUUAGAAUUUUCAGAUUUGUUACACGUAUUUUGAAAAAUUGUAUCUCACUCUCUACAAGUUCAAAAUUGAAAAUUUUGGUAAUGUUGGAAACUACUUCUAAAGUAUCAAAAGUUCCUAGAAGACACCUUUCCAUGAGUCCAAAUGGAAGAUAUUCAAAAUGUGGCUCAAAAUGGCUGUUUUGGAAUGCCAAGACAGAUUUGGGUUAAUUUUUGGCGAAGUUUGGAAAUUCGGCAAAUUUCAAAUAAUACGAACUAGCCUCUAAAAUUUGGAACUCAAUUAGAGUUACAAUCAAAAUUUUCAACACAACAAGCGGAACAAGAAUUGGAGUUUUGAGCACACAGAAUUAGAGUUUUCUGGUGGUGACUUUCUUUUAAUUGGCAAAAGAUUUUUCACAAUUUACCUGAGAAUGAAAAUUGUGAUUCAACUUAAGAUGACAUAGCAAUAACAAAAUAAAUGUGCUUAAGAAUAAAAUGGGCUAAGGCUCGCAAAGAAUCAUAGUCUUUAAGUUUUUAUUAAAUAAAAAAGGUCAAAUCAUUUCUAAUGAAACUAUUGCAUUACUUUGGCAUUGAUUGUAAACUAUGGACACAUUUUGUUUUAUUAUUGGUUAUGCAUGCAAGUUUUUUGUGUAAUUUUCUAACUGAAGGGGGAGAAUUAGCAAGCAUUAAGGGGAAAGCUAAGUGAUUUAGUUGUCUUUAACUUCUACUUCUAUGCCUGUGAUUGUGUUCAAGCAUGUUCUAACACUUGAUUGAGAAGUUUGGUCAGCUUUUGCUACCACAAUUGUUGAAGAAAAAAAUCAGUAAUAAAAAGUUAUAUAGGGGUUAGAACAAAAGAUAACGAAGUUAAAAUAGCAAAAUGAUGAUGUGGAAGGUUAAUAAUAUUGCUAUCAUGGUAAAGUUUGCUAUGUUUUUUUUUUAAAUCUUUCUCCUGAUCAAAAGUAGAAGAUGAGAAGAAAAAUAAGCAAAUUAAAAUAAAAACAUGGAUUUUCAACCUAAUCGAGUCAUGUAAAAUAGCUGUGAACGGAUGUUGUGUACGACGCAUGAUUUUUUUGCAUUGUAAUUUCUUCUUCUUUCUUAGUACUUUUCUAGCCUUUUGAUUUUUUUGUGGGGUUUAGUAGUCUAAUUUUUGUGUAUUAAUUUGUCUAUAUAUGUUGCAGGUGCAAAAAAUCAGAAAUUUCUUCCAGCAUCAGGUUCUAUAAAAUUUUUUCCUUUAAUAACGUGCAUCCUAUUUGGUUGUCUUUUUAAAAAAUACAAAUUUAGCAUUCUGUUUCCAUCUUGUGCCUAAUUUUUUAAGGAUUUUUGCCAUAUUGGAAUCUUAAUUUUGUUUUCCAGAAUGCAUUUAACAAAUUUGAGGAAGUUCUUUUAUGAUUUUUUCCUUUCAAAGAUAUUUUUGGACUAUCUAAUAUGUUUAUUUUUUGUGAUAUUACAAGUCCAAAGAUUUGAACUUUGCUUUCAUUUUCUUUCGUGGUUUUUCCUCAUCUCUUGUAAUUCUUGCUUUUGUUUGCUUUGCUUAACUACUUUUUUUCCUUCCUCAAGUGAAAAAAAUAGAAAACAAAUGAUUUUGUGUUUGUGGGGUUCCAAAGUAAACGUUUGGAGCAAAGCAGAAAAGAAAAUGUGAAAUUUGUUAGAUUGUGGGGUUGUAUGUUUUUGUGAUUUUUGUAAAUUGUGGUUAUAUUCAUAUUCGAGAGUUGAAGCAAAGAAGUUGGGACUGUUAGCUAAGCCAUAUUUGGCGAGAGCGCAAUCAAUGUGUAGAUUGGUUGGCUAAAUGCAGCAUAUGAUCCAUCCGGGUUAUAAGUUCCCGAGAGAUGCGAGAUUUGUUUGAAGUGGAUGUGUUAGGAGUUGCAUAUCAUUAUUUUGUUUCUAUUUAAGAGGUUAUGACCUCUUCCAAUGUACCAAAUAAAUAAAUAAAAAGGUUCCUUUAUGAUAUAUAUAUAUAUAUCUUUGGUGCUUCUUGCAGGAUUUUUUUUCCCUUUUGAUUGGUCUUAUCCUAAUGUUGUAAAACUGCUCUGGCAGCAAAAGUGUAUAGAAAUUUUGAGGUUGCAUUCCUCAAAAUUCAAAAGACAAGAAUAUCUUAAGAAUGAAUUUGGAAUUAUAUUGAGUAAUGCAAAUAUGUUAAUAUAGUUGCUUUUAAGUAUGAGAUUUCAUUUGUAAAUAUUGAGGAUACCAAAAUAUAAUUUGUAUGUUGGGUCAAUGGCCAAUAGUAUAUGUCCUUAUCAUGUCUUUCUCAUGUCCUAUUGUAUCUUUUAAAGGUAUUGUAUUAUAAUUUUCAUCUUUUGAACUUUAUAUUUUUAAUAAUUUUAAACUAAUUAUAUACUUUUUAAGAACACAAUUUUGAAUAUUUUGUUUAUCAUUCACAUUUAUAAUAAUUUGUAAACUAAGUGAGUAUAAUUGGGCAUUUAUCCACCGCGCAUCGCGCAGUGAAUCCCUCCUAGUAAUACGUUAUGCGCUAAGGCUUAAAUUCUCCCAGUUCCUUCUUCAGUCGGUUGAAAGCUUCUGUCCUAGACGAAUUAGUAGUCGUACUUUCUCAAAUGUAGUUGAAAGCUACGGCUACAUCUUUUGAGGGCCCUAAGAAGUAGUUCUAUGGGCAUGUCAUCUUCUAAAAGUCAGUCAGUUCCCCCUCUGUUCCACGGGUCUCUAUUUCCGAUCAAAAGUAAAACACGAGUUUCUACAUUGAGCAAAGGUGAAACAUAAGUCUUUAUUUCGAAUGAUUGUUGAACACAUGUUUCAAUUCUUAAACUCUCCUUAAGGUAAGUUUCUUCUUUACAAAUUUGUUUUACUUUCGUAUGCCUAACUUCUAAAUAAUCUGUAACGCCUUAAAACAACCAAUGCAAAGAUCAUAAACGAAACAAUAAGUAAAUAAAAACAGGGAAAGAAUUGCAAACCAAUUAACUACCCAACUCCUCUUGAGCUUGUAGAUUAAUUGAAACAAACUACUUCAAGUUGAUGAAUUACAAUCACUCUUGUGUACAAAGGAAGGUUCACCUCCUCCUUGCCCCGAACUCCACUCGGUCAAGCCAGGACGUUUUACUAUCCCUCAGGACAACCCUCACAGAGCUACACUCAUGAAAGAUUCAUUCACAAAUGAAAAGCUUACAAUGAACCUCACACCACUAAGACUACAAAUCUUCUUUGAAGAGUAUUUUCUCACUAAAAUCACUCUAGAUCUUUUGUAUCUUCAGUGUGCAAAAGUUGUUUGAAGUAUCUAAUCAACCACUAUUUAUAUAGAACCAAGAAAGAGCCUCAUUAAAGCUUCCAACGGAUAGAAAGUAGCUGAAGAGUCAACUAGCCGUUGGAGUGUCGGACGUCCGAUGCUAGCGUCCGAUACUGUCGGACGUCCGGUAGCCCUGUUUUGUGCGUCCGACAGCAGGCAGAGAGUUUAAGAGAUUUUCUUCAAUUCCUUCGGACGUCCGGUGCAAGCUCUUUGUGCGUCCGACAGCAAACAAACAGAUUUGAGAAAUUAUCUUGUUUCUAUCGGACGUCUGGUAGAGACAUAUUCAGCGUCCGAUAGUUUCGUCGACUUCGAAGGAUCCUAUCGGACGUCCGAAGCAUGCGUCCGAAGUUGUGCAAUGAUUAUCGGACGUCCGAUCUUGACAUCUUGAGCGUCCGAUAGUUUCAGCAUACUUUGUCAUAUUUAAAUUGUACUUGAUCUUUAGAACUAAUUUGCUUCAUAACUGAAUAGAUUUUUGAAGAAACAUUAGUAACAUCCAUUUGUUUUGUAAAUAUCAAAAGAUAGGGACCAAGGCUAACAUAAUCGUAAAAUAGAAGUGACUACUACUAAAUAAUUAUUAAGUACAAACAUAUACUUUUUGACAUUUUUGAAAUAAUAUUUCUUCUUUCAAUCCUGUCCACUUAUCUUAUCGAAAAAAUUAUUUAUUAUAGAUAUUAGAUGUUAAAAUACAAUCUGAUGCAAUGAAUUUUGAGGACACUAUUGUAAAAAAUCAAUUAUUCUUAAGGAUCCAUUUGUCCUUUGAACUAAUUAAAAGAAAAAGAUUUGAUCGUCUGAAGAUAAUCAUUAUUUUAAAGGUCUAGUAUGAUAAAUUUACUUGUGAUUGCAAAAACAUAAUUUUGUAAUGUUCAGAAUUACUUUUUAGUUAAAAUUGUGUAAAGAAAAUACUAUUUAUGAAAUAUGUUGAAAAUAAUAUUCUCCACAUUUGAUUCCUCAAAUAUGCUCUUGUAGCAAUAAUAUUGAUAGAAAUUUUUUAGAAGUAUUCUUUGUUUAUUGGAUAUCUUCUUGUAAAUGAAUACAGUAAUGAAAUUUACCAACUAAUUCUAGUUCAUUCCCAAAAAUAAAUGAGAUGAAAGUUUAAGUUGUUUGUUAGUUAUGAUUGUGGCCAUAACUAUAAUUUUGGUAGAUAUGUAUCUUAUCAUGGCAAAAAGAAAAAUUGCCAGUUGAAGUAGGAUAAUAAUAAAAGAACAAGAAAAUAAGGAUUCUAAAGAUAAUUGCUACUAGUAUUGCAUGAAAGAUCAUUAGUCCCAUGCAUGUCAUAUAACUAUAUAUCUUAUCAGUAUUUAUGAAUUAUCACUAAAAAGAAAGAUUUUGAAGAUUCAUCCGAGUGAAGUAAAAAGUUAGUUUCAUACCUAGAGUUUGAUUAAAUAUUUUGUUAAUUUUUAUCAUGUAUUAGUAAAAAAGAAAACAAAUGUCUGGAAGUACACUUGACCAAACCAAAUUAUAACAAUAUCUUGAUAUGAUCAAUUUCUUUAAACAUCCUAAAGGUGUAUGAAGAUUAAUUUGAUUUAUGAUAAUAAUAAUUGUAUUUUCUUCUUGAAAAAGAAUUGGAUACCAAACAUUUGGAAUCAAAGGAUUAUAGUAAUGAUAUUUGUCUCAUAAGAAUUAUGGUGACGAUGAUAUGUGUUUCACUGAUAAUAUUACUAUACACACUAUAUUUAAAAAUAAAAUGUACUUUUUAUUGAAAUUCAUAAGUGGUAAUGCUAAAAUUGAUCAAAAGUUUUAGAAAAGUCAAUACUAUAUUUCUUUUUGAAAGAGUAAAAUUUGUUAUAUAUGAUGCACUGCUCUUCAAGUCUUAAAAAAAUUAUUCCAGAUAUCUCAAUAUGGAUAUCAUAUCGAGAUACUAAAUGAGACAAUAAUAAAAAUUAUAAUUAGAGAUCAAGUGAGACAAAGGUUGAUUAUAUUCCAAAAACUAUUCGAGAAGGAAUAGUUAUUGGUAUAGUUGUUUUCAUUCUCAUUUGGUUUACAAUUAAUUCAAAAUCAUCAUUCACGAAAAAUAAAAAAUUUACUAAUCCCAAUGAAUUUAUGAUUUUACAAAACGUGAGAAUUUAAAUAAUUUUGAAAGCCAUCAAGUACUCAUAUAUAUAUAUAUAUAUAUAUAUAUAUAUAUUCCUUUAUGUUAUAGGUAACUCCAACAGAAAUUUAAAAAUUUAUAUCGGGUAUGAAUCAUACUUUACAAUUAAACAUUGUGAAAUAUUGAUAGGUGAUUUAUUUAUUGAAUAAUUUAUUGAUAUUUUGAUGAACUAUAAUUCCUGAUAUUAGGAGAAGGAAAUCAACAAAAAAAGAAUCACUUAAAAAAUAUCAUUGAAUUUUCUCGAUCCUCAUACAAAAUAAUAUGAAUUGAAAGUUUAAAAUAUUAUUCAUUUGUAGAAAAUUGCAAAUAAAUUAUCAAAUAUAUUGACUCCAAAGAGUUAUUAAAUCAAAUAUUCUUACAAAAAAUACUUGAUUAAAAUUAAUGUUUCUGAAGGAUACAUAUAAGUGCUACAAACGAAUUUAAGGUCGACCUACCUAAAUAAACAUCUUGAUUUCAAUAUUUUGAAUAUUAAAUAAAUGUCAUGACAAAAUUCAACUUUCUGAAAAGUUUACUUCUGAAGAGAAUGAAAUCAUAGAAACUUCAGCCUAAGAAUUUUCACAAAAAUUUGGAUUUGAUUAUGAUGAGAUAUAUUUACCUAUAGUGGAUAUGAUCAUGAACAACUAAAUUUGUGUUUAAUGGAUGUAAUCUCAGUUUAUAGGAAUCUUGAUAAUAAGAUUUACAUGAGAAUCCUUAAAGGAUUCAACAUGCCUGAAGCAUUUAAAUUAAAUCCCAAAACAAUUUAUCCCAUCAAAUUAUAAAAAUCUCUGUGUGGGUUCAAGGAAUCUAGACAUGUGUGGUCCGCCUUAGUGAGUGUUUACUAAAGAAAAAUUAUGUAAAUGAUCAAAUAUAUCCAUGUGUUUCUGUAAAGAGAAAUGAGUUAAAUUUUGUUAUUAUUAUUGUAUAUGUUAAUUAUUCUAAUUUGAUUGGAACUCCUGAAGAAUUUCAAAAAAUUGUUGAAUAUUUAAAGAUAGAAUUUGAAAUAAAAAAUAUUAGAAAAAUCAAAAUUUGCCUGGAUUUACAAAUUGAACAUUUAGAAAAAUAAGAUUUUUGUUCAUCAAACUGAUUAUACUCAGAAAGUAUUAAAAUAAUUUUAUAUUGAUAAAACACAUACUCCAAUGGUCGUCUGGUCAUUUGAUUAUGAGAAAAAUCCUUUUAGAUAGCAAGAGGUAGAUGAAGAGAUAUUUGAUUCUAAAACACCAUAUUUCAAUGUAAUUUGUAUGUUAAUUUAUCUUGCUAAUUGUACAAAAGUACAUAUAUCAUUUUCUAUAAAUUUAUUAGCAAGAUUUAGUUUUUCUCCUACCAGACGAUAUUGGAAUAAUAUAAAACAUUUUUUUUCGCUAUCUUCAAGGAAGAAUUGAUUUUGGGUUAUAUUACCCAUAUCAUUAUGGGUUUGAAUUACUUUUUUUUAUAAUAAAAUAGAAUAAUUUUAUUAAUCAUGAGAUCGAAUCUGCAACAAGUGCAGAAUAAAUAAAAGACGGAGGAGAGUUUCUCUAUAUACAAGAGUCUGAAAGAUUAACAUCAUACUUAGCAAGGUUAUGAGCAGGAACAUUAAACGACCUAAAAAUCCAUGAAACUUCCUAACACAUGAAAUCUUGACAUAAGACAAUGGUAUCAUCAAUCAACAAGCCACAUGAUGAAUCGUCAAAUUCCAAACGGUCCAGCAUUUUGAUGACUUUUUGUGAAUCUCCUUCCAAAACAAUCUUAUUGAAACCCAAAGAUUGUAGUAAUUGAGUAGCAUGUUUGGUCACAAAUGAUUCAAUCACUUCUGGUUCUAAUAUCCCAGGAAUUUUCUUGGAGAGGCCAGCAAUAAAACUUCCUUUAUCAUCUUAGAUAAUAACACCAACCCCUGAUGAUUUAUCAUCUAUAAACACAGCUCCAUCAAAGUUUGCCUUAACAAAACCUACAUUGGGUCGUAUCCAAUGACCUAUUGAUAACCUUGAUUGAAGAGACAUAGGCAUAUUGCACUUAUCUUUGAAAUUUGCUUCAUGGAAUUGAUUCAGGAAUGCUAUGGACAGGGAGACCAAGCUAAGAGGAUCUCUGUAGGGCCCAUCAAAGAUUGCUCCAUUCGCAUUAUUCCAUAAAUUUCAAAGAAUAACACCCACCAAUUCCAUCUCUUUGCUUGAUAGUCGCAAAAGCUGGUUGGGAAGCCAGGAUGUUAUAUGAUCAGAUGAUUGCAGUUGAACUUUUUGGGUCAAGAAACUAAGCGCCCACGAUUGCACAGCUACAGGACAAGUUAAGAAAGUAUGAUCAAUAUCAUUAACUGGAGCGAGACAUAAAGGGCAAGAGGUAUCUAAAUGGAGCCCUUUAGUAUUGAGUUUUGUGCUGGUUGGCAGUAUAUCUUUACAUGCCCUCCAUAAGAAAAUUUUAAUUUUCUCAAGAAGAUUCAAGUGUCAAAGCCGACACCAAACAUUUUGCUUUAGAGUACUACUACUUGAUGGCAAAUUCUCCCAAUUAGAAUAUCGCUGCUUGAUCAAGUGAUACGCAUUUUUCACAGUAAAAUAUCCAUUCUUUGAAGAGUGCCAGAUUAGCUUAUCUCUAUUAUGAGUGUCUCCAAUUGGAAUGCUUUGAAUUAAUUCAAUCUCCUCAGGACAAAAAAUUUCCUGCAAUAAGUCAACUCACCAAGUCUUUCGCUCGUAGUUAUUAGGCAAUCAACUGUGGAAUUCUCCGGCAAUGCAGUAGACUGCGACACGAUUUUAAAAGUGGAUGGCCGUGGAAGCCACCUAUCUUUCCAGAUUUUGAUAGACUGGCCAGAACCAACUCGUCAUCUGCUUCCUACUUCUAUAUACUUCCUGACCUCACAUAGUCCGCGCCAAGACCAGGAAGGCCGUGAUCCUUCUUGAGCUUGGAAGAAAUCAAUAUUGGAAAAAUAUUUAGCUUUAUAUACCCGAUGAAGAAGGCUAGAUGGUUGUGUAGCAAUACGCCACACUUGCUUAGAUAACAAUGCAAGAUUAAAAGUCUUAAACUGCCUAAAACCCAUUCCUCCAUCUUUUUUUCGGCUGCUAAGUUUAUCCCAACUAACCCAGUGAAUUGGUCUAGCCUUAUUUCCAUCACCCCACCAAAAAUUGCUCAUCAUUGAUUGGAUAUCCAUUAGUAAAGAAUCUGAAAAUUUGAAACAAGACAUCAAAUAUAUGGGAAUUGCUUGAACCACUGCUUUCAGCAAAAUUUCCUUUCUUUCUUUUGAUAACCGUUGUUCAUUCCAUCCUUGAAUUUGUUGCCAAAUUCUAUCCUUGAUAGAAGAGAAUACCUCACAUUUGGAGUGUCCAAUAAUGGUGGGAAGAUCAAGAUAUUUUUCAUGUGCAACCACUUCUUUAAUAUUCAGGAACUGAGUGAUAUCUUGUCGGUUUGAGAAAUCUAUGUUACUACUGAAAACCACAGCUGAUUUCUCAAGAUUGAUCUCUUGCCCAGAAGCUUCCUUAUAUAGUUGCAAGAUAUCCUGAAUAUGUUGAGCUUCUUGUAGGGUCGCUUUGCCAAAUAAUAAAGUAUUGUCUGCAAAUAAUAAAUGAGAAAGCUUGGGGCCAAUAUGACCUAUUUGAACUCUUGACAAUUUACCAUAAGCCUCUGCUUCUUGUAAUAGACAGAAAAAAGGCUUUGCACAUAUAAGAAAUAAAUACGGAGAAAUUGGAUCGCCUUGUCUAAUGCCCCGUUGUGGUCGUAGAUAACCAAAUUGAACACCAUUCAACUGAAAAGAAUACGAAACAGUAGAGAAACAACUGGAAAUAAGAUCAACAAAAGAUGGAUGAAAACCUAAAGCCAACAUCAUUCCUUUAAGAAAAGGCCACUCAACCCUAUCAAACGCUUUGCUUAAGUCCAAUUUAAUGGACAUGGAUCCCUCUUUGCCUGCAAACUUUGAUUUAAGAGAGUGGUUAACUUCGUAAGCGAUCAGGAUAUUAUCUGUAAUGAAACAACCAAGAAUAAAAGCAGACUGAAAGGGCGAGAGAAUUAUUGAAAGAACUUUAUUUAAUCUAUUAGCUAUAACCUUAGAAGCUAAUCUAUAAACUACAUUACAUAAACUAAUUGGACGAAAUUGAGUUAUAUUGGAUGGACAUUGGCAUUUUGGGAUAAGCACUAUGUAAGUGAAAUUUAAUUGAUCAUCAAAAUGCCCAUUGUUCAGGAAUUCAAGAACAUAUUUCAUACAUCCUGACUAACAACAUGCCAAAAUUUCUGAUAAAAUAUUGGGGACAUGCCAUCAGGACCGGAAAAUUUAAAAGGGUGCAUUUAAUUUAAAGCUUGUGUUACCUCAAAAGCUGAGUAAGUUCGCAUCAGUGAAUCAUUCAUUCGUUUAGAUGCCUUAGGUUGCACCCUUUGCAAAACCGCAUCAAUUAUCUCAGGAGAUGGCUUUGAACCGGAAAAAAUGGAUCCAAAAUGGUCAAAGAUAAUGUUCUCCAGAUCAUCAUGGGAGUUGCACUAUUGCCCCGCAUCAUUGAAAAGGCCAUUUAUCUGAUUUUGCUUCCGUCGCAUGGAUGUCUGUGCAUGGAAGAAAGCUGUAUUCCGAUCCCCCUCUCGAUACCAGUGAGUUUUACUCCUUUGUUUCCACAUAGUAUUUUUUCAAUCCAAAACAUCCUCUAAUUGAUUUGUUAAAGUCCCAAUUUGAGACUUAAUAGCAUCAGAGAGAGUCCCUUGCUACAGCUUAGCAAUCUUUUUCCUUAGGUCGUCUGCUGCAGAACAAACAUUACCAAAUUUUGAUUUGCUCCAUUGUAAAAGACCCAUUCGACAUUUAUCAGUUUUCUUUAACAAAUUAACACAAGCAUUAUCCGCAGAUGUACUUUCCCAAGAUUGUUGAAUUACAUUUUCACAAUUAUUCGCCUUUAUCCACAUGGCUUCGAACAUAAAACAUUUAAAUUUCUUCGCCUCAUUUGUAAUCUUUGAAGAUUUAAUGAAAUUCUCAAAACUAAAAACUAGAGGCAAAUGAUCAAAGAAUAUAGAGUGCACAUGCUUGAGUUUUGAAUCAGGGAAUAAGUCCACAAAAUCUUGAGUUGCACAAGUGCGAUCAAGUCUUGCUCUAAUCGUAUUUUGAUAUGUCCGACUAUGGCACCAUGUAUAAGUGAAACCUUCAUAGCCCAUAUCAUGCAGAUUACUAUCUAUCAAGGCCUGACGAAAAUUCAUGAUUUGCUAGUUAUUUCGUGGACCAGAACCUUGAAAUUCGUUUUGGCUAAAGACUUCAUUAUAAUCACCAAUACAAAGCCAGGGGAGCCAAGAUUGUGUGCUUAGUUGUCGGAGAGAAUUCCAGGAAUAUUUUCGCUUUGAAGCAUCAGGAUGUCCAUAGAAGCCAGUGAAACGCCAUAUGUAAUUUGGCAUAUGAACAUUAGCAUCAAUAAAAUUAUUUGCAAAGCGAUUCAAUGAUAUGUCAAGAUCUUUUUUCCACAGGAGAGCUAACCCACCAGAAGUGCCCUGCGCAUCCACACCAAUACCAACCAUCCAAUUUGCUACUUCAAUUUCUCCACAAAUCUACUAGAACACUUAGUUUCUAUCAAAAAAAUAAUUGAAAGUUUUUCCCUCCGGAUAAAACUCCGGAGUUCAUGAACUGUGCGGAGGUUUUUCAACCCCCGACAGUUCCAACUUAAAAGGCUCAUGAUUCUUGGCGAGGCUGGUGACCAGCCUCCGCCAUUGAUAUACCGUGUGAUGCGAUUGAACCAACUGUCUUAGAUUUCUUGGAAAGAGGAACAUCUUCCAUAUCAACAUCAUCAGAGAGGAAAAAAUUUUCAGGACGUUUCACCUUGCUGUCUAAUAACCUUUUAUGAGAAGAUUGAGCCGUAGACGACAUCAAACUUGAUUUGGGACUGUCAGUGCUCUUUCUCCGUUUGAAGGUACUAGCCAGAGACCGGAGUUUAUGGAUAUCUAAAUGUGUUUUUUGUUCUGCCAGAGGUGCAUCAACUAGGAAGAGUUCCGAUGUUUUGAGAAGAGUGGGGGAGCUGUCUGUAGUUUGGGUAUGUUGUAGGACUUUACUAGGAAAAGCUGGGGAAGUAGUUGAGAGGGUUGGAGUAGGGAUAGGAAAAUUGGGAUUCAUGUUUUCAGAUAGUUGGUAUGCGUAAGAGUGGAGGUGGGAUUAUUGGAUGUUGUAUGAAUAGGUGGCUCAGAUGAGGAGGGAAUAGGAUCAGAAAUUAUUGGGGAUAUAAUAGGGACAAUAGUUUGUAAUUGGUUACUCCUGGAUUGAAUGAGAGUCAAAUUUGGCAAUUGGCUUGAGGUAGUUAGAAAAGCAAAGAAUUUGUCCUGAAUUAUUUGGUUUUCUGGUUGGACUAUUGAAGUGAAAGAAGCUUUAGGUGCUUUGUUUCGAGUGUUGGUUUGAAUUGGUAUGUUGUUAUCCAAAGGGGCAGACGGUCUUGGUUUAUUGUGUGGUGCAACGGGGAGGCGAAAAGAGUCAUCGGUGGGGUGGGUUGAAAAAGAAGAGGGUUUAUUGGUAGUCCAUAGAGCUGCUGUACUCUUUGAUUUGGGUUGGAGAAGAUCCAAAUUAUUAGAGAUAGAGGCAGAAGAUUUACCUUUGAUUAGGUCUUGAUGUCUCUCUAGGUCAUUAUCCAAAGUUGCAGAUUGGGCAUGAUCAAACUUUGAAAAUUCAAGAUAGUCAGGUGAUGCGGAUGCAGUUGAUCUGUUUCUCUUAUCCGUUCCUUGUGGCACGCAAUUCUCGUUAUCGCUUACCGUUGCAGCUGGCCGUGAGUGUUGUUGGCCGGAAAAUGAUUUUUCCGGCUUAGCUCGAAGCCAUCCUCCAUAUUGCGAAUCACCAGUUUCAUAGGUUGCUGCAUCAAGCUUCAAUUCGCAAUCCCGCUUGCCAUGGCCAAUCCUUCCACAGUAGAAGCAUAAUAUAGGGAGCCUUUCAUAUUGAAAAAGCACCUUAUGCACCUUGCCUUCAAUGAACAGAUGCAUUACUCGCUUAAGAGGAGAUUCAAGGUGAAUCUUCACAUGGAUAUGAAGGAAUUUUCCCCAGGCAAACAAGUCACCUUUUGAUUCAAAGCCUUCAUAGGCCCCUAACUUAUUGCCAAGGUAUUCUGCUGUUUUGGCAUUCAUCCAACUCAAUGGAAGAUUAUAUACACGCACCCAAAAGGAGCAGGUGUCAAGCUAAAUGUUGGUUGGCUAGACGUUGCCGAUAUAAUCACUGAUGACCAGUAGAUUAUCAUCAAAACACCAUGGGCCACCAGAGAAAACUUUUUUCUUAUCAAGCAUGUCAUUAAAUUUAAAAAGGAAAAGGUUAUCUCCUAAUAAAGUGUGGAUGAGACCCUUGGAUGGGUUUCAAACCUUCUUUAUAGUACCCAUCAGCGCUUCACCAUUGAAUUGCUUUCUGGUAAAAAGUUUGCCUAAGAUGCACAACUCGCUUAAAGAAUCUUCAACAUCGUCCGCAUCGCCCGACAAUAAAUUUACUUCUUCUUCAUCAUCACGAAUACGCAGUUUUUCACAUAUUCUUUCCAGUUCUUUAGCCAUGGAAGCCAGGACAAAUGAUACAGUCUCGAAAGGAGCACAAAAGGCACAAGACUGCUGAAUGAAUCACGUUCUGCAAACUUGCAUGACCCAAAGGAAGUGAAAGUUUUUAUUUUUUGAAAAAAUAAAAUCAGAACAGAGAAAAACUUAUUCAUGGAAAAAAUAUGACAAACGGGAACCCAAUUGAGUGUAAGUUGGAAUGCAAACUGAUUGAAAAUAGAAUAGAAUAGUUGUUUGGGGAGGUCAAAAUAGGGUGUUGGACUUCCACUAGAAACUAGGGAAGAGAGCAACCGGCACUAGCAAGGAGAAGGCCCACAGAGAGCAAAGCGUCUCAUGGGAAGAGUUCAAUUAUGUUUGAAUUACUUAAUUAUGCUAAUGUUUGGUAUUUAUCUGAUCCACAUAAAACAAGAUUCCAAACUAACUAUUAAUUAUAUGUGUUGAUACAGUCCUUUCAUGACAAUGUAUAAAACAAUCUAUAAUUGCUACCUCUUCAAAUCAUGUUGAAAUAAUAACAAUACAUAAGGUUAGGUAAGAAUGUAUUGACUAAGAUCAAUGACCCAUUAUAUUCGAAAAAUAGUAGGUUAUUCUCUGAAAAAGAAAGUCCUUCAAUUAUAUUUUAUGAAAAUAAUGCAGUUUGUAUAACUCAAUUAAAAGGAAUAUAUAUUAAAGGAAAUAGAUCGAAAUAUAUUUCACCAAAAUUCUUUUUACUAAUGAUAUGCAAAAAAUGGUGAACUUGAUGUGCAGUGAAUUCGAUCAAGUGAUAAUAUGACAGAUUUAUUUACCAAGGUAUUGCCGACUACAAUAUUUGAGAAAUUAGUGAAAAAUAUUGCAAUGUAUCGACUAAAAGAUCUUAGUUCACGUUGGGAUCAGGGGGAGAAAUUGAAAUCAAGAAUAAUGCAUUCUCUUUCCUUUAUUUGAAUUUUUUUCACUAGAUUUUUCCUAAUAAAGUUUUAACGAGAUAUAAUAGUUGUGUAGUAGACAUCUAAGGGAAGUAUUAUGAAAUAAUUAAAUAAUUAUCGAUGUCUAAUAACGUUUGUCUUAUCUCAUAGAUUUUUGAGAUGAUAAAAUUAUCAGGACUUUUAAGGUGAUAAACUUGUCAUGACCUUAGAGAAAAUCUUAUCAUCAAUAUCUUAAGAAUUAUAGUUAUUUGAUAUAUUUUGAACUCUUUUGUACUCUCUUUAUAAAUAGUGGUCACCCCUCUCUUCUAUUAGUGAUAUAUAUAAUUCAAAAUCAUUUGACAAAAUGAAAGAUUAGUUCUACUUUUCUCUUUUCUAAAUUCAUCAGUUUUUUUUAUUCUCUUAACAUAGUGCUCACCAUAUAAACAACACAAAUCUUACAUCAUACACAAAUCCUACAUCAUCAUAUUAGUAUUAUUUUUACCAUGUGUCUAACAGAGGCAUUCAUUAAGGUAUAGUUCAAGCGUUAUAUUUUUAAAUAAUUAGAAAAUGUAAAUAAAUAUAAGGGAAGGUAGGCAAGAUUAAAUAACAAAAGUAUAUAAAUGUAAGAAAGAAUAAUAAUUAUCAGUAUAUUUAUAUAUAUGGUAGGUUAAGUGAAUAUUAGGUGUGCUAAAAAUUGCCCUAAGAGUACCCAUUAAAAAACCCUUAAUUUUACGGCACAAGUAAACUUUUUAACCACCCAACUGAAAAGGACAAAUUUAUAGACUUACUAUAGUAUUAAUUUAUAACACAAGUAAUUUUUUUUUUUUUUGGAGUAAAGUUCUCUUCCAACUAGUAUUACUAAAGCUGUGUCUGGUAUGCUGUUAGUUUUACAUGACGCUUAAAAGAUCUCAGAGCAUAUGUUUUUCGUAUUCACGGCAUUAAGCACAGGACUCAGCUUUUUCACUAGGGAAGACCAGGAUAACAUACAAGUAAAACCACUGAUACAAAAGUUUUUACUUCUUAUUUUCUGCUCUAAACCAGGAUUGACAAAUUAUGUGCUACGUUUCCUCUUUUGUACAGUUUAACCACAAAACCAGAUGCCGAGAACAUCAUAACUUUAUUAGAACCAUUGCCCCUAGAAGUAUUCAAAUUCUACGUAUGAAGGAUCACUAGAACUACUUUUGUUUUUAUCAGUUGCAAUCUCUGCCAUCUUCUUGUCUGAAUGGGCUGCCUCUUUAUUAGCAAAAUGCCCGAAAUCUACAGGUUCAGGGAUGUGGGGUGGUUGUGCACUCCUGACUAAAGCCCAGUUCACACCUUCAAAAAAUGCGUGUUGCUUUAUCUCUGUGGCGCCCCUCUUGUAUGCAAUUCUCUUGUGUGGCUCUUUAACCAAGAGCCCUCUGAUUAGAUCACGAGCUGGGAAGCUCACUUGUGGAGCUUCUGGGAAUCGUAACGGUUGGCCUACGACAUUGAACAAUGUCGCCCUAUUCCCAGACCCCUUAAAAGGAGUUGUCCCAUGCAAAAGCUCAUAUAAGAAGAUUCCAAAUGUCCACCAAUCCACUGCACUGCCAUGACCCUCACCUCGUAUUAUCUCUGGGGCUAGGUAUUCAUGUGUUCCGACAAAAGACAUUGAUCUCACAUUAGUUGGCUCGGCCAUCAGCUCUGGGAGGGCUCCACCAACGAAGAGACCAAAAUCUGAUUUAGACUUCCGAUUCUUUUUGCUAGGAAGGAUACGAGGGAGAAAAGCUGAUGGCUGCAUACAUCCAUGCACUGCAUUCUCGUCAUCUAAAAUGCCACCAGCAUUAGAACUGGCAUUUCCUGCAUGCACAGAUGAAGAUUUGACUAGUGUAGGACUGACCGAGCAACGAAGUGACAGGUCAAAGUCAGAGAGCAUAAUGUGACCCUCAUCUCUCACCAGCACAUUUUCUGGCUUUAGAUCCCUGUAGACAAUUCCCAGCAUAUGCAAAUAUUCAAGUGCCAACAGAACUUCUGAUGCAUAAAACCUACAAAAAGUUAAGACUGCAUCAGUAACAAAAUCCAUCUGUCACAGAACAACCAUCUGUAUGCUUCAAUCUGAGCAUGUAGGCAAGUCUGUGAUCUAGGUUUAAAGCGUUACUGCAAUGGAAAUCACAGCUAAUACCAUAUUUGACAAAAUUUUCCACCAGAAAAAAACAAAUAACAGUAAGAUUAAUUGACAUCUCAACUGCAAUUUAAUAAUUUAAUGAGCAGUAGAAAUUGUGCAGAAAAAAGUGCAUUAAAAGGAAAAGAUGGUAAAAGCCAGGAUUUUGUUGUAGUUCCAAAGUUAAUUACUGCAGGCACAAUUGAAAUGCAUAAAUAGUAGCACAACAAAUUACCACGUCUCUCAAAACUAUCACCAGACGGCAGUUGAAGUUUAGCUAGUGUAUGGCAGAAAACUCAGUAUUGAUGGCAUUACAACCUACAAAUGUUUUCCCUCAUCUAUUAGCAGACCACUGUUUUUCCUUAUGUCCGUUUUCGCUUCAUAUCACAUUUGGCUUCAUACUUUGAGAAGUUUUCUAGAAUUAUCAGCAAUCAAAUUGAGAAUCUCUCUCUUCAAAACACUGUUUUGGAUCCACUCUGUUUGGAGUUAUAACAUAAGCAUAAAAAUGGAAACGAAGGAAAGAAAAGAAACUUAAGCUUAAUGGAAUACACAAGAUGAGGAAGCACAAGACUUGCCUCAUUUAGGAAUUCACAACAGAAUAGAAAUGAUGGUUUCUUUCUUCACUUGGACAUUAAACAAAAUACAUAAGUAAAGGUGCUUUAACAAGUCCACAUCAUAUUCUUGUAAUUCUCAUUUUUCAGCACAAAUCUUCAUGUUCAGUUCUUCAUGAAAAAAUGUAUUAGUAUGGAGAAGGAAAUUGCUAAUAAGAUAUCUGAUCCUUUCAACAAUUAAUUCCAACUCCGAAGAGACGAAAUUUAACCAGUGGAAAGAUGCAUAGAUCUCUACAUAUUUUUCUUUAUUUUUCUUUUCUGGGGAAAAAAUUAUUUUCAGGCCUCUUGUUUUAACCCCCAUUAUGCCAUGCUGAAAAGUCCAGUGUUAAUUUCAUCUUACAAGCAUACCAGCCCUUGCAAAUAAGUAUCCUUGAUAUACUUAGUCAGCAUGGAAUAUUGUUCCAUACUAAGUACUUUCAAGGAACAAAAAACUGAGAAGCAUCAAAAUUUCAGAAAAAUGCAGAAGCAUAAGAAUCUGCCCGGUCGUAUGAAGCGAAACAAAAAAGCAUGUAAAGCAUCCUAACAGUCACACUGCUGGAUUCAUAAAGCCAAUAUGCCACAAAAUGCUGCAACUAGCAAUUCUUGGAAUAUACUUUACCUUCCUCUUUAACAAAUCUCAAAAGCUCAACCAGUUUGGCAACUUGCAGAAGCAAUAACUGGUCUAAUGCUAAGUCCACUAAAUCAUACCUCUAUGAUGUUCAGAUACCAUAGAUGGUCCACCAAGAGAUCUCACAAAAAAUGGUAAAAGCAAAAAGCAUCCGGUAGCCAUGAAAAGAGAGAUAAAUCAGUUAGUCAAUAAAUCUCACCUAGCAGCAUCCUCAGAAAAAUACUUGUUGGGCUGCUUUUGUCGAAGAGUAUGAAGAUUACCUCCACUGCAAAAUUCCAUGACCAAGCAAUAAAAUUUUUCAGUUUCAAAAUAAGAAUACAGGGUAGGCAAGAAUGGGUGAUCAAGAAGACUGAGGAUCUCCCUCUCAGUUUGAGCUCGAAGUAGCUUGUUUCGACUUGCAAGAGAACCUUUGUCCAUCACUUUCAUGGCAAAAUAAGUGUUAGUUCCUCGAAGUUCAACAAGAUAGACACUUCCAAUGUCUCCAUAACCAAGUCGCUUCAAGAGUCGAAAAUUACUAAGGCCAAGUGGAGAAUCCUUUAAAGAGACGGAAUUAAUGGCAUCCCAUCGAACAUCACCGCCAGUGUGGGGCUUAAGAUGUGUGGUGGAACUUUCUAUGCUGUCACUACGCGUGCUACUGCCACUACCCCAGCUAAUGACCAAUUGAGGACUCAUAUGAUCAUUCAUCUUGGUGGCCAUAGACAUUAUGGAUGGUCCACAAGAUAAUGUAGACAUCAGAUGCUCAGAAUGCGUCCCUGAAAUUGAGCCAUGUGCUGCACAUGUUUCACUUGGAGGAUUUAAACCAGACACGGUUACCAGAUCAACUUUUUGAACAUUCAGAGUCGAACUUGAUUUAGAUUGGAAAUUUGCAUCCAUGUGGAGGGGUCCAAAUUGUGAUUCACUACUUACAUUGAGGCUAUUCAUGUCCGUAUCUGAUUUCUUUCGUUCACAUGCAAAAUUAGAUGCUGAACUGGUAAAACCCUUGAUAUCCAGGUCCAUGUUAGACUUACUAACUGUGUGUUCUGAUGACAAGUCACUCAUCUGCACAAACAAAAGCCACGUCAAUGUUUUUACUGCCGUAAACCAAAAAAAAAAAAACACCAAAAAAAGGAAAUAGAGAUGUUCUUCCAUUUCUAAAAAGUUUGUUAAUGACUGCACUGCUAGCUGAAAUAGAGCUCAAUAAAGUGACUAGUGCACUUACAAAGGAUGGAAGAUGUAACAAAGAAAGAGGUAAAAGAAGAUAGAGAGUAGCGACAGCAUAGUGAACUUAAGCUACUGACUACCAAAAGACUAGAAUAAUUUUCUCUAAUUUUUGCUCACCACUAAAGUGGAAAAUGAUUUAGUAACUUGUCAUAAUGUGUUAUUUCAGAAGUUAAAGUCUGGCAUUUCAGUCUAGAGCAACAGGAAAUGAUAGGGAAUGAAAAAAAUAACAAAAAUAACGAGACAAAAGUGGCUAAAUAGAAGUGAUGGGAUCUAAUAGAUAAAUUUGCCAUACAAAUGUCUGCUAGAAAGAUGACAAAGAAAAGAAUGCUUUCGAACAGCUAUGAAGUAUAGACAGUGCUUCUUCUCUUUCUAUUUUUACAUCCCUUCUCUUCAUACUUUAGCACUGUAAAAUCACUUCCAAACUAACGCACACUGGUCAUUGAUCCAGGAUAUUUCUUAAGUGCAUGUGGUGCUGUGGAUGGACGUUUAUCAGAAUUCUAGUUGAAAGUGUUCAAAUAGACUGCACCUUCCACAGUAUUAUAUGAAACAAAGGAAUUCUUACUAGUUGCCCCAUAGCACGUCCCACAGAAAACAAAAAAGAAGAGAAGAACAUCAAGCACCAUAAUGACACAUUAAAAAAGGAAUAAUGUUAAGCACUUUUGUCACAAAUAGGAAUCCAAUCAGACUCCUCUCCCAAUGAAUACAAAAUAUCUAACCAGAAUAAAGUACAGUAGAAAAAUCUGAACACACAACAUCAAUGAUAUCCAUCAAUGUCACCUUACGGAAGGCAUACCGCAAUAUGAAUGAUCCACAAAAGAUAAAUUUGAAAUAGACAUGUAGAUCUGCAAUGCUAAACACGUAUGAGACUUUGUACUCAGGCUUUGAUGACAUUGAAACAAGACUCACAAAUGAUUUCGAAAAGUUGCUUGCAGAAAGUACGUGAUCAUUAUUGAUUUCAAGCUGCCAGUUACCAGGUGCAAAAUGAAUUAACACUGAUGGACGUUACCUUUAGCUUUAGACUAACUUGAGUGUCUUAAAAAAAAAAAGUGUCGACAGCAAAACAGGCAUUCAAAUGUACCUUUUUUUUCAUUUAGCAACAAUAGGCCUAACAAAAACUGGAAAUGCAAUUUGGCAGCGGCUGCAGUUCAAAAGCUAUCAUGUUGCAUGUAUAAGUUGGUGGCAAGCUGCAAUCAAAGGCAUGCUAUAAAUGAACCCGUUGGACCCGAGGGCUCCCAUCAGCAGCCACAAAGAAAAAGGGAGGGAAAAACUGCAGAAAUAACAACUGCAAAUUCAAACAGAAGCGAAGAAAAAUAGAAACGAACCUUUUUGAGGCUAAUUUAGAAUGCUACGGCCUCCCUUUGGUUCACUGCAUUAAGAGAUAUAAUCAUGCAAGGGGAAUGGAAAUUGCCGGAAGGUAGGACGUCGUAUCGGGUGAGGCCACCAUUUUGUGGAAAUGCUGCAUUCCAAUGAUAAUCAGGGAUAGAGGGGAGAGGAGGAGGAGGAGGAGGAUCGGGGGAGAAUGGUGGCAACAAUAGGUUGGUAUUGGAUCGAACACAUGGCCCAACGGCUACAACGAGGAGGGGGAAGAAGAUGUUGUUAGUUGUAUUACAACUUGAAUUUCCAUAGAAAUUGUGAUUGCUCCCGUCAUUUCUGUUUCGGUAGUUGUUUGAAAGGAGAAAUUUGUGGGAAGGAGGAGAGAGAGUGGCAGGACGACUAUAAUUAGGAUAACAAUUACUAAAAGUGGAAUCCAUUUCAAUGUGCUACAUCCCCUAAUCUUAUCUUAUAUUACAUGACUGGCUCUCUGUAAAUGCUCCACACCCUCCCUCCGUAUAUGUGAAUGCUGAUGCUGAUGCUGAUGGGAAGACAUUAUUGGAUCGCAGGAAGCAAGAGAAGAAUAAUAUAAUGUAACCAACAUUUAAUAUUUCUUUUACUAAUAUUUCCUAAAAAUAUAUUAUUACCCCUUACAAUUAGUAUCGGCAACGGCAUCACCACCACCACCAAAACAACAACAACAACAACGACAACAACGAGACGAAAGGCAUUCUACUACUAGUAAAAGGAAUUGGUCUUCGGAAUGGCAGAUCAGCGAGACGAAAGGAUCGGCGUUUAAUUUUGUCAAAGUGUGGUCGCAAUGAACUCCACCCUCACCCCUCACUACUCAUACUGUAAGGACAAAUGGGAUACUUGCGCAAAUUGAUGGGUGGGAAAAAAAGAAAAAGGAUGAUGACAGUUAUUGCCACUAGUUAUAUCAGUUUCAAGAGCAAAUUACCUCAACUUUUAAAUAGUCAAAGAUUUUAAUCAUUCAACUAUUAAUAGUACAUUUUUAUCCAUUAAAUUAUCAAAAAAAUAUAAAUUUUGUGAUAUUUCAUUUGAUUCUAUCAGAUACAAUGGCUCGCACGAUGCACGAGACAUACUAUUAAUAGUUAGAUAUGGUAGAAUUAACUAUGAAAUUAGACGGAAUGACCCAAAAUUUAGACUUUUGAUAGUUUAGUAAAUACAAACAUACUAUUAAUAGUUGAAUGACUAAAACUUAAUUAUUCAAAAAGUUUAGUUGCUGUGCGAAUAAUUUGCUCCAAUUACCCCUAUAAUUAGGGGAGAUUGCAAUUCAUCCCACGAAACUUAUAACUCACUCCUGAUAAAUGAUAAUAUAUGGGAGCGUUUGAAAAUUACAGGGGCCAACUUCAAGAGAAAAGAAUAUUUUUCAAAAUUGAGUGAGUGCAAUUGUUAAAAAAAAAAAAACUUAAAAUUUAUUGAACUUUCAUAUAUAUUCUUUAAACUAGGGAGAACUGGGGAGAGGGGGGCAAUUGUCCACUUCACCUAAAUGUUGCUCCACUACUGCCUGCUUGUGCCAAACAACAACACUAAUAAGUGCUCAUUUUCCAUGUUUUACGUGGUUAUCUAUGUGUUUUUUUGGUUUGUUUUAAUCAUAUUAGGAGUGUAUGUUCUAGGAUUUUAGUUGAGUUUUGCAUUGUGUUGUUAAAAUAAGAAAAGUUGCGUUUCUAUGGAACUAAGCGGUGAAAACUUAAUGUUUGGUAGGUUUUGAUGAUUUAAUUAUCAAUUGAAGGGAAGUGACAAGAAAUUUGUAGGAUUCUUGAUGAUUUGAAAUUUAUUUCAAAUGACAUGAAGUAUGACAGGAUCAAAUGAUGAAAUGCGACGAAGAAACAUAGAAGAAAAGAUUAGCAAAAUGACACAUUUUGAUAUUUUGGUUAUAACAUCAGUUACAGACAUUGAAUUGAAAUGAUUCUUAAACUAUUGUAAUUAUAGAGAGAGAGAGAAUGACUACAAUUUUUAUGAAGAUAUCAAAAUUAGUUUUCACGUUUUCAUUUCCAAAUAUCCAGAUCACAUAAAUACUUCUUUGUUGCUACAAUCUGAAGCAGGUUUCUGACUAGUUUAGUAUUUUUUGGUUGUAACUGAUCACGUAAACUUGCAAAUGACUUGAUUCUUGAUCCAUAGAAAAUUAACUGAAUUCGAAAUCUUUCAUUGAGGUAAUUGCACUUCAAUUCAGUGGUAAGAGAAAGCAAUGUCGCAAAUCAGUUAUGCAAGUUCAGCAAAUAUGAAUCCGUCAGUAGAUCCAUAUGGGGAUGUCGCGGAUCCAAUUGCGGGAGCAGCCGAAAACAAAGUAUGAUGGAACCUCCGGCAGGUUUGAUCGGAUCUAGGUACAGAUUCUACGUUGGUUUAAGGGGGGGCAAGAGUUUUUCCUUACUUUUAUUUCUUACUCCUCCUUGCAUAUUUUUGCAUCUCUAUAAAUACCCUUCAAAACCAAGUUUUGCAACAACUUUGGAGGGUGGAAAUAACUCACAAAAAUGUAGAUUUUAAUUAGAACUUCCUAGUUUAUUAGAUUAGUUUAAAUUAAAUAGGUUUAAUCCAAUCUUUCUUGUAUGUAUCUAAAUGUCGAUGAAGAUUGAGAAUUAAAAAUGAAGAGAUUGGAGACUCAUGCAACAAAGCUGACUUCUCUCUAAGCUGUUUAUUUCUUGCAUUGAGCUCCAGUGUUCAGUUAUAAUAUAUAAGUUGGUUAUUUACUUCCCUUUCUCUCUAAGCUCUUUAUGCCUAAGGUUUGGAUGGAAAUUUUAUGUUAUGUGUUGUGAUGUUUUCUUAGUUAUUUAAGCUUAUAAAUUGUACAAGUUAUUAAGUAGUUUUGUUAUUACGAUCAUAAUUAAUCAAUCAUUAAUUGUAAUUAUCUCAAGGUAUUAAAUGUUAUAGCAAAAGUAGAAGUUCAAUACUAACUCAUGAAAGUGCUCAAUUUAUAGAGUAUGCUUACAAAAAUAAAGGUACACCUUUGAAUUUAUAACUAGUUUUAUAACUCUAAAAGUCUAUAGGUAUUGUUGAUAUUGAUCAAAGCAAGUAUCAUGUACAUUAAAAAAAUUGCACCAUAACAUAGUUAAGACUCAAUCAACUGAUAAUUUCAGUAACAAAGAUAGUUAGGAAAUCUUAAAUCCUAUAAGCCUUUUUAUUAUUGUUUUUACUUUCUUUCGUUACAUGUUUGUAGCGUAGAUUUAUUUACUCGUAUUUGUGAUCAUCAAAAUAAUAAAGAGACGAAACAGCAUUGGUAAGUGAUUCGACCUUCCUUGUAAGACUGACAUUCGAAUUAUUCCAAUAUUCAUGUAUGAUGUAUAUACUUGCAGUAGUGAAAAUUUGAAUUUAAAUAAAACUUCACAUCAAAUACGAAAUCGAAGUUUGAUCGUAUAGGAUAACUCUGAUGCUCAAGUUAACGUAUUUACAAUCUAGAGAGAAUGGGUGGAGUUGUUAUUACCUCGACCAAGCAGGGUACAAAGGCUAUUUAAAGGUUGUGAGGAGAGAAUGUCCCAGAUGUGCGACUAUGCCAAUCUAUGUAAGAAUGCAGAUGGUGCAUGCCAACUAAAAAGACGAAGAGAUCGAGAGACACAGGGAGUUUCCAAUAAGAACUCGGGAAUGCUGAACUCCUGCGUCACGACAUGGAUUUGGGGCAGGGACGGUCAUACUGAUGACCGUCCCUGCACGGUUCAUGGUCCAGAUUGGACUUCAAAAAAAUGUGCGGCUCAGAUAACAAGUGGUAACUCGAUUUUCGCGUCAAGUGUGGGCCCACCACUAUCUGUUGUGAAAAUACAACCUGUGGAAAAAAAGUUACACGGUGAACAAAAGAAGUUACGCGCUGUUGAUGAAGAAGAAAUUUGUCAGGGACGGUUGCACCUGCAACCGUCCCUGCCCCGAGUCCGUCACGACAUAGUCCAACUUUCAAAUGUCAAGAAUAAAUGGAAAAAUUCGCAAUCUUACUUAUAUGAAGGUGUCCAAGCCUCCAAUGAACAGUGUUUUUUCUCCGCUUUCCCCUUGAUUCUGUGGUUCUUUUUUUUGUUUUUUUGGGAGGGGGGGUGGUUCUCAAUAUUUGAUUUAGUCCCUUCUUGGUUCCAAUUUUUUAAAAGUAGUGAUUUAAUUAUGAUAUUUAUAUAUUUUUUAAAUUUUAUUUUUAUAAAUUUAAAUAAUAACAAGUAUUCCCUCCGUCCCAUUUUGAUAGUCCUGUUUUCCUUUUUCGUCUGUCCCAAAUUAUAGUCCACUUUCCAAUUGAAAAAUAUAGUUGUAUUUUAAUUUUUCUAAAAUAUCCUUAUUUAAUAUAAGUUGUUGUUACUAUAAACCUACCCCAUUUAAUGAAAGUUGAUUCUUUUUUUACCAUCAAUUUAAGUUUUCAUAAAAUUGUACUCUAUUUAAUGUGAGGGUAUUUUAGGAAAAUAACAAUCUAAAUUUACUUUUCUAACAAAAUUAACUAUUUUUUCUUAAAUUGUAUAAAAAAAGAAACAGUACCUUCAAAGUGGGACGGAGGGAGUGCAUGAUUAGAGACGGAAGGAGUGCAUGAUUAGAGGAAGAUGCAAUAUAUAUUAAAAAGAGAGAUUAAAAGUAGUUUGACUUUCUCAAUACGAUAAAAUAGAACACUUGGACGGAGGGAGUAGUUAAUUGGGGAGCUCUUGGUCGGUGGAGUUUGUGCUGGACGGUGGGCUUCUGGAUUUUGGUGCUGAUUUUGUUUGAGGGGCAUUCUUGGUUUUUUGCCUUAUUAGUGGGGGCCUUUUGGUCAGUGGAGUUUCUUGUCAGGAGCUCAGGUGGCAAAUUCCGUUUGGCUUUGAAGAAGCAUUGCCCGGUUAAGCUUCUGCUGUUUCCCACGUGUUUCAUGCAAACCUCAGUGGAAUUUGCUUGGCUUAGAGCUUCGAUCGAUGGAGACUGGAGAGCUUAGUAGAACUGUAGAAGUGGCCUAACUUGCAUCGAGGCCGCUGCAUGUCAUAAUUUGUUGAUCGGAUGGAUGAGGAAUGCCAUGAUAAUGCGCUUCCGGUGAAUCUUUUGCUCUGUUGUACUUGUUCGAGCGGGGGAAAAGGAAGGAAAAAUACCGGUUUUCGUCCCCAAACUUUGGACACAAGACACAUUUCGUCCCUCAUCUUUCGGGCAUGACACAUCUGGUGUCUGAAUUAAGAAUUUUAGACCAAAUAUUAUCCUCAAACGGCAAUUUAUCCACCAUUUAACGAAACCGGUCACGUGAGAUUCACGUACCGUUAAAGCUUCUGUCCGAAAGAACCCAGGUGGAAAAGGACGUUGUCUCCACUUUCCUUGUCCAAAACCGAAUCUGAGCUCACUCUCUCUCUACAAGCUCACUUUCCCCUUUCCCUUGCCUUUCACUUUCCCUUUUCCUUUCACUUCAACGACUUCCUCUGCAAAUUUUCAAGCCUAAGCUCAAGCUCCAUCUGAAAAUUCUGCCGAGAGCAAAUCCCCUCUUCCAAAUCAAAUUCUGCCAAGAAAUAAAGUAGAAACUUGCAUAAAGCAACACCCAGCAUUGUGGCUGUAUUUCCCUAAAAUGAGAUCUAGAAAUCUUGAGUCGUCAUCGUCAUCGUCAUUAAACAGCAUUGUUAAGGUUUUAUAAAUGACUGUUUUAGUUCUUGGAUUACACCUUACCUCCAAAAUUUGGGAAUUUACCCAAAUUUUCCAUUUUCUAAUAUUCCUACAAAUAUGCAAAAUUAUGCAUAUCCCUCAAAAUUCCGCCUGCAUAAUAACGUUGAAACCCGCAAGCAAGAUUCUGUGUUUUUUCUAUUUCAAGGUUAGCUCGCAUGCGGGUUAAUGUUAUAUUUGAGCGCGAGAAGAAAAAAUUGGUAAUUAGGCUCUUUGGGCAUUAUAAGUAAAUAUUUAAAUUAAUAGCAGUUUUAUUACACCAAUAUUAUUGUAUUAUCAUUAUUAUGAUUAUUGUAUUAUUUCUUAGGCAAAUAUAACAUUUAAUUAUUUAAAUUUGAUUUUAUUUUUACAAUUUAUAAAAUUUUUAUCACUUAUAUAAUAUUUUUAAAACCCUAAUACAUCUAAAUUUGAUUUUAUUUUUCAAAUUUAUAAGAUUUUUAUUUUAAAAAAAUGGGAUACGGAUAAGAUAUCCGGUUGGUUCGAUUUGCAUAGGUGCAUAUGAGAAUAUCCGAAUACUCUUUAAACCCGCAUGCGGGUUUAAGGAGAUUAUGGCAACUCUCUGACACACUAGUUACCUGUCCAACUUGUGUGUAUUAAAAUAUAUUUAAAUAUUAUAUUUCAUAUUUUUGUUAUUUAGAGUUUAACAAAACAUUAAUAUUGGGUAGAUUUGAGGGAUAUGCAUAAUUUUGCAUAUUUGUAGGAAUAUUAGAAAAUGGAAAAUUUGGGUAAAUUCCCAAAUUUUGGAGGUAAGGUGUAAUCCAAGAACUAAAACAGUCAUUUAUAAAACCUUAACAAUGCUGUUUAAUGACGAUGACGAUGACGACUCAAGAUUUCUAGAUCUCAUUUUAGGGAAAUACAGCCACAAUGCUGGGUGUUGCUUUAUGCAAGUUUCUACUUUAUUUCUUGGCAGAAUUUGAUUUGGAAGAGGGGAUUUGCUCUCGGCAGAAUUUUCAGAUGGAGCUUGAGCUUAGGCUUGGAAAUUUGCAGAGGAAGUCGUUGAAGUGAAAGGAAAAGGGAAAGUGAAAGGCAAGGGAAAGGGGAAAGUGAACUUGUAGAGAGAGAGUGAGCUCAGAUUCGGUUUUGGACAAGGAAAGUGGAGACAACGUCCUUUUCCACCUAGGUUCUUUCGGACAGAAGCUUUAACGGUACGUGAAUCUCACGUGACCGGUUUCGUUAAAUGGUGGAUAAAUUGCCGUUUGAGGAUAACAUUUGGUCUAAAAUUCUUAAUUCAGACACCAGAUGUGUCAUGCCCGAAAGAUGAGGGACGAAAUGUGUCUUGUGUCCAAAGUUUGGGGACGAAAACCGGUAUUUUUCCGAAAAGGAAAGGCGUUGGGAUAUUCUGCAACUUAGGACUUGACCUCUUCUUCCGGUUGCUCGGCUUUUGCGCUGCUCUUCCUGUAUGUGAAUUGGAUUUUUCCUCGUUUCGUUUGGUGGUUAUUUGCACUUGCGAUUUAUGGCUCAUGAAGUUUAACUGCUUGGGAGCUGGUAUUUUUCUUCAUUAUUUGAAAUGAAACAUGUACAAUAAAAAUUUUUCAUAUACAUCUACAGUAAAGUUAUUGAAAAACUCCCACUAUUUUAAAAUGUUUAUCAAAUAUUACACCAAAAUAUUCCUUAAGAAAAAGAAAAGCUUAAAUCGACAAACAAAUUUGAUGCAAAAUUAUCUAAAUUUUCACAACUAAAAUACACUUAUGAUCAUUUUUAGCCAUGUCAAGAAUCAUUAGGUGUCAAAUUCUUUAACAUUUUAUACAUGGGAUUGCAAAAAUUUUAGAAGUCGAAAGGCCACAAAUAUAUAAACAAUAUUUGGAGGGAUAAAAUUAUACAAACUUAAUAAUUUAAAGACCAACUCGAUAUUUUGCUCUUAGUAAGUUAAACUAAAAUAGUUAACUGUUUAUAUGAUAAACGUAUAAAUGAUAAUUUGUUUGAGUACCUUGAAAUAUCAAAAAUUACACUUACCUCCCUUGCUUAUUUACGCAUUUAAUAUGACAAUACCAUGUUCACAUUUUAAUGAAUCUUUCCUUGUUUUUUCAUGUUUAUACCAAGAAUUGGUUUUAAAAUUAUUUUUGCUUUUGCUUUUCCCUUUUUAUUCCUCCCUUUUGCCAGCAAGACCACAGAAUAAUCAAUAUUGCCCCUAGUUUCUAUUGUAUUCAAAUCAAAUGUCAAACUAGUGAUCUUUUAUGACAAGUUAGCUUCGAAUGUGAUCUAAUAUUUUUGUUUACCUUUUCCUUUUUUUCUGGUAUUAAAAUCAAAGUUCAAAAUCAGUACAGCAUACUAUGGUGGUUCUACCACUCCAAAAAUCCAGAAAUACUUGAAAAAAUAAUGGCAACAAUUUCUUCUCCACCUCAUAACGAUUAAGUAGACGCGUGGCAGUUAUCAUAAAUGUGCUGGAAAUUCCCAAAAAAAAAUAUUCGGAGUUCUAGAAGCAAUUUACAGUGAAGCACAACUUUGGUGUAUAAAAAGUUUUCAAUGCCACAAUCGAUGCGCGAUUUACUUGGCUAAAUAAUAACAACCCCAAACUGCCUGAAAAAUGGUUGAAUUUUGUACACCCAACCGAAAAGUAACCCAAAGCCCAACACAACCUUCAAAUUAGGGAACAAAUUGAGCGGGUUUGUGGAUUUGGGUUUAGACUGCCAAGCCUAAAAUACUUCUCCUGAGUUGAAGCCAUACUAUUAUACAUAAACGACGAGCUACAACACCCACAAGGAAAGGCAUUUUCUAUCAACUGCUUUAGCUGCAAAAGCAAGGCCUGUGUCUGAUACAUUACACUUGCAAUGUUGUCCAGAAACUCAACCAGCUAUAGUUCACCCCGGCAUUUUGCCUAUCACGGUAAUGCUUGUAACUUACAGAAACUAUAAGCCCAAAAUGAGCUCCUAAAAAUAAGGAUAUUAACAAUUACUAAGCCAGCGGAAUUUCAUUCUCUUGCAACAGGAUCAAGA